RNAcentral lists this microRNA (23 nucleotides) under Cervus elaphus (red deer). RNAcentral describes it as "PC-3p-176868". Lineage: Eukaryota; Metazoa; Chordata; Mammalia; Artiodactyla; Cervidae. The record is from RNAcentral.
GUCUGGUGGGAAGGAAGGGACAC